RNAcentral lists this small RNA (132 nucleotides) under Escherichia coli. RNAcentral's name for it is "RtT sRNA". It matches the Rfam family "RtT RNA". Rfam says of the family: This family represents a bacterial cis-regulatory element known as RtT RNA. The exact function of RtT is unknown although it is thought that it may be involved in changing the cellular response in relation to amino acid starvation. The record is from RNAcentral. Lineage: Bacteria; Pseudomonadati; Pseudomonadota; Gammaproteobacteria; Enterobacterales; Enterobacteriaceae.
AUUCUGCCCAUGCGGGGAAGGAUGAGAAGCUUCGACCAAUGUUCGACUCGAGCGCCAGCGAGAGAGCGUUGCCGCAGGCAACGACCCGAAGGGCGAAGCGCGCAGCGCUGAGUAAUCCUUCCCCCACCACCA